This 872-nucleotide long non-coding RNA is filed under the name Olea europaea subsp. europaea. The record is from RNAcentral. Lineage: Eukaryota; Viridiplantae; Streptophyta; Magnoliopsida; Lamiales; Oleaceae.
UUUUAGGAGAUUUUUUGCAAAGUUCAGUAACGAUUGGGGGGAUUUUCUCCAAUUAACAUCAGGAAAAUUGGUGAACUGGAAACAAGUUCUUCUUGCGAUACUAAGUUCACAUUGCAACUCACCCAAAUGAAUGCCAAACUGAACAACGACAUUAGCAGAAUGAACACUAACAAUUGAAGGUGAAAUACUAAAAUCACAUUGAUAUAAAAGUCAAUGAAAAUUACAGUGUCCUCCCACAUACAAAAGUGAAGAACUCAAAUUUGUUGUAUAAAUUCCCCACAGUAGCAUCCUUUCCUCGAUUUUAUAGUCACCCAACUGAACUCUAACUGUACAUAACAGAGCACACUACAACUGGCAGAACACAUACUAUACAUCACAAGUGGUAGGGAGCGGUACUAAUGACAACACAACUACUAUUGAAGCAUCCUUCACAUAAUAUUUGCUGCGAGAUUCCGCGGGAGGUGAUGAUUAGCAGUUAGAAGGAAAAAAUUUCCGCCAAAGGCGCUUGACUUCGACCAAAGUUUUCGCCUCCAAGGGUUUUCUCUGGUUUGCGGGAGAGUGAAAAUGAGAGAUUGCUGCGAUGGAUGGUGUUUAAGAGGACAAAUUUUUGCCGACGAUGGAAGCUGGACUUCGAUCUCUAUUUUCGCCUCCAAGGGUUUCCUUUCAUUAGAGGGAUUUGUGGGAAAUUGAAAUGAAAGGAAGACUACCGUAUCAACCAUCUAAUUGGGCCGGUUCAAGUUUUGACCCAACAACUUUGUUUUGUUUUCAAAAGAAUUUGAAAUCCCUCUGCUGCCACGUCAGGGUGUAAGCGACCUUGUCAAACUACAUGUACCCAUAGCACGAUUGUAAGUAAUUUAUAUUUGCACUUUCCC